Small nuclear RNA from Lontra canadensis (Northern American river otter), 134 nucleotides. RefSeq annotates it as U4 spliceosomal RNA. Lineage: Eukaryota; Metazoa; Chordata; Mammalia; Carnivora; Mustelidae. The record is from RefSeq and is a predicted model, not a curated record. The transcript has a single exon.
AGCUUUGCUCACUGCCAGUAUCACAGCCAGGGAGGUUUAUCUGAGGAAUGAUUAUUGCUAAUUGAAAACUUUUCCAAGCAUGCCUGACCCACUCAGUUGGGGGAGCAUGUGACUCUUGAUCUCCUGGUCAUGGG